RNAcentral lists this long non-coding RNA (598 nucleotides) under Rattus norvegicus (Norway rat). Its description in RNAcentral is "long non-coding RNA NONRATT002041". The record is from RNAcentral. Lineage: Eukaryota; Metazoa; Chordata; Mammalia; Rodentia; Muridae.
CUCGGGGGGUGGCGAAGGAACACUUCCGACUGGCGCAGGUCGGGCUACGGGCAGCCGCUUCUCACCGGAUCCCGUGCUACCUCAGCCAUGGGCAAGAAGCACAAGAAGCACAAGGCAGAAUGGCGCUCGUCGUACGAAGAUUAUACAGACACACCACUGGAGAAGCCUCUGAAGCUGGUGCUCAAGGUGGGAGGAAGUGAAGUGACAGAGCUCUCAGGAUCUGGUCACGACUCCAGCUACUAUGAUGACCGGUCAGACCAUGAGCGGGAAAGACAUAGGGAAAAGAAGAAGAAAAAGAAGAAGAAGUCAGAGAAGGAAAAGCACCUUGAUGAGGAGGAGAGGAGGAAGAGGAAGGAAGAGAAGAAACGGAAGCGGGAGAAGGAACAUUGUGACUCAGAGGGGGAGGCUGAUGCCUUUGACCCUGGGAAGAAGGUGGAGGUGGAACCACCCCCAGAUCGACCAGUGAGAGCCUGCCGAACACAGCCAGCUGAGAAUGAGAGCACACCCAUCCAGAGGCUUCUGGAGCACUUCCUCCGCCAGCUACAGAGAAAAGAUCCUCAUGGAUUUUUUGCUUUUCCUGUUACGGAUGCAAUUGCUC